This 1345-nucleotide ribosomal RNA is filed under the name bioreactor metagenome. RNAcentral's name for it is "bacterial LSU rRNA". It matches the Rfam family "Bacterial large subunit ribosomal RNA", at positions 1551 to 2879 of the family's 2925-position model. The record is from RNAcentral.
CGAGUCUGAGACCGGAUCCCGAGCCGAUCUAGGCGAAGUGGAUAAUCCUAUGCUGCCGAGAAAAGCCUCUAGCGAGUGUCAUGGCGGCCCGUACCCCAAACCGACUCAGGUGGUCAGGUAGAGAAUACCAAGGAGAUCGAGAGAAUCGUGGUUAAGGAACUCGGCAAAAUGCCCCCGUAACUUCGGGAGAAGGGGGGCCGGACACGUGAUGGCACUUGCUGCCGGAGCGUUGAAGGCCGCAGAGACCAGUGGGAAGCGACUGUUUACUAAAAACACAGGUCCGUGCGAAGUCGCAAGACGAUGUAUACGGACUGACGCCUGCCCGGUGCUGGAAGGUUAAGAGGAAGGGUCAGCCUCACGGCGAAGCUCAGAAUUUAAGCCCCAGUAAACGGCGGUGGUAACUAUAACCAUCCUAAGGUAGCGAAAUUCCUUGUCGGGUAAGUUCCGACCUGCACGAAUGGCGUAACGACUUCCCAGCUGUCUCAACCGCGAACUCGGCGAAAUUGCACUACGAGUAAAGAUGCUCGUUACGCGCAGCAGGACGGAAAGACCCCGGGACCUUUACUAUAGUUUGGUAUUGGUGUUCGGUGCGGCUUGUGUAGGAUAGGUGGGAGACGUUGAAGCCGGCACGCCAGUGUCGGUGGAGUCGUUGGUGAAAUACCACUCUGGUCGUUUUGAGCGUCUAACCCGCACCCGUGGAUCCGGGUGGGGGACAGUGCCUGGUGGGUAGUUUAACUGGGGCGGUUGCCUCCUAAAGAGUAACGGAGGCGCCCAAAGGUUCCCUCAGCCUGGUUGGCAAUCAGGUGUUGAGUGUAAGUGCACAAGGGAGCUUGACUGUGAGAGAGACAUCUCGAGCAGGGACGAAAGUCGGGACUAGUGAUCCGGCAGUGGCUUGUGGAAGCGCUGUCGCUCAACGGAUAAAAGGUACCUCGGGGAUAACAGGCUGAUCUUGCCCAAGAGUCCAUAUCGACGGCAUGGUUUGGCACCUCGAUGUCGGCUCGUCGCAUCCUGGGGCUGGAGUAGGUCCCAAGGGUUGGGCUGUUCGCCCAUUAAAGCGGUACGCGAGCUGGGUUUAGAACGUCGUGAGACAGUUCGGUCCCUAUCCGCUGCGCGCGUUGGAAACUUGAGAAGGGCUGUCCCUAGUACGAGAGGACCGGGACGGACGAACCUCUGGUGUGCCAGUUGUCCCGCCAGGGGCAUGGCUGGUUGGCUACGUUCGGGAGGGAUAACCGCUGAAGGCAUCUAAGCGGGAAGCCUGCUUCGAGAUGAGUUCUCCUGGCAUCCUUUGGGUGUGUGAGGCUCCUUAGAGAUGAUGAGGUUGAUAGGCCGGGUAUGGAAGCGUUGU